AUUGAACGCUGGCGGCAUGCUUUACACAUGCAAGUCGAACGGCAGCGCGGGCUUCGGCCUGGCUGCGAGUGGCGAACGGGCGAGUAAUGCAUCGGAACGUGCCCAGCAGUGGGGGAUAGCGCGGCGAAAGCCGGAUUAAUACCGCAUACGACCUGAGGGUGAAAGCGGGGGAGCGAAAGGCCUCGCGCUAUUGGAGGGGCCGAUGUCGGAUUAGCUAGUUGGUGGGGUAAAGGCUUACCAAGGCGACGAUCCGUAGCUGGUCUGAGAGGACGACCAGCCACACUGGGACUGAGACACGGCCCAGACUCCUACGGGAGGCAGCAGUGGGGAAUUUUGGACAAUGGGGGCAAGCCUGAUCCAGCCAUGCCGCGUGCGGGAAGAAGGCCUUCGGGUUGUAAACCGCUUUUGUUCGGGAAGAAAAGCUCUGGGCUAAUACCCCGGGGGGAUGACGGUACCGGAAGAAUAAGCACCGGCUAACUACGUG
RNAcentral lists this ribosomal RNA (484 nucleotides) under uncultured bacterium. Its description in RNAcentral is "partial 16S ribosomal RNA". It matches the Rfam family "Bacterial small subunit ribosomal RNA", at positions 29 to 507 of the family's 1533-position model. The record is from RNAcentral.